AUCACUUCAUGGCCUUUUAGCUAAGGUCACGUGGUGUAUCUGUGCUUAUCAGUUUAAUAUCUGAUACAUCCUCUGAGGACAAUGUAUUAAAUAGAUUUUUGGAACGAGGAAAUGGAACAGAAGCUUACUCCAUCCACUCCAUCCACUGACCUGGUAUUGCAGUACUUUUAGGAACAGUGCUCCCCCU
The sequence is a small nuclear RNA, 187 nucleotides long. Its record names the gene U2. It matches the Rfam family "U2 spliceosomal RNA". From Rfam's summary of the family: U2 is a small nuclear RNA (snRNA) component of the spliceosome (involved in pre-mRNA splicing). Complementary binding between U2 snRNA (in an area lying towards the 5' end but 3' to hairpin I) and the branchpoint sequence (BPS) of the intron results the bulging out of an unpaired adenosine, on the BPS, which initiates a nucleophilic attack at the intronic 5' splice site, thus starting the first of two transesterification reactions that mediate splicing. The record is from Ensembl.